GUCCCUACGGGGGGCAGCAGUGGGGAAUAUUGCACAAUGGGGGAAACCCUGAUGCAGCAACGCCGCGUGAAGGAAGAAGUAUUUCGGUAUGUAAACUUCUAUCAGCAGGGAAGAAAAUGACGGUACCUGACUAAGAAGCCCCGGCUAACUACGUGCCAGCAGCCGCGGUAAUACGUAGGGGGCAAGCGUUAUCCGGAUUUACUGGGUGUAAAGGGAGCGUAGGCGGUUCAGCAAGUCAGAAGUGAAAGCCCGGGGCUCAACUCCGGGACUGCUUUUGAAAAUGUUGAACUAGAUUGCAGGAGAGG
RNAcentral lists this ribosomal RNA (305 nucleotides) under uncultured bacterium. RNAcentral's name for it is "bacterial SSU rRNA". It matches the Rfam family "Bacterial small subunit ribosomal RNA", at positions 335 to 657 of the family's 1533-position model. The record is from RNAcentral.